GAAAUCUAUUAGCAUACAAAUGUUUGCAAAUGAUCUUUUCAGAUCUUCUCAGAAAUUAAUCAAGUCCAUGGAAUGGAUAUAGACACGAAGAUAAUUCAAGGACUAUCAGAGGUAGAGAGGCGAGGCAGGGGUGAGGGCAUCAUCCUGCUAUAUUGACAGUCCCCGAAGGACAAUACAGAAGAGGACUGGAGACCACAGCAGCGAUCCUGCUCUUGCCCAACCUCUUCAAUGAGGACCCGCGUGGCCUUUAUGUCCGGGACAAGAUUUCACCGCUCUUCACUCCUUUACUGCACAUCGGUGGAAAUCCAUUUCACCAUGAGAGUGAAUUCCCGCUGGCCUUUGAUGGGGAGAACAUCCACGCCCUCGAGGACGUCCCCAUAGGAUUUGGGGCUCUGCUACGGCUGAAUUUUUUAUUUUCCCUUAAAUUUGCCCAAAAUGUCAGAAAAACAAUUAUGUUGUUAUGUUACCGUGUUCUGGGGAGAAGAGAAGUUGGGGGGAAGUUACCAGGGCCGGUCAUAAAGAUGGCAAACUUCCUAACAUAACUAAAUGGAUAUGAUAUACACACUAAAGCUGAAAAAUCUGUAUUUAGCUUCAAGUCUACAAUAUUGUUAGUUUACCUAUGAUUCAUUUGUAUGUAUGUUUUUAUUUUACAUCAUUAUUUGUACUUUUUAAAUGUC
Oncorhynchus nerka (sockeye salmon) is the source of this 677-nucleotide long non-coding RNA. RefSeq lists it as uncharacterized. The record is from RefSeq and is a predicted model, not a curated record. The transcript is spliced from 3 exons. Lineage: Eukaryota; Metazoa; Chordata; Actinopteri; Salmoniformes; Salmonidae.